Cyprinus carpio (common carp) is the source of this 1689-nucleotide long non-coding RNA. NCBI's taxonomy places the organism in Eukaryota, Metazoa, Chordata, Actinopteri, Cypriniformes, Cyprinidae. The record is from Ensembl.
AUUCAUUAAAAGUGUUGAAAGCAGAUUUCUUCUGAGUCUCUUCAUUAAAGCAGCAGAGACUGAGACACAGACAGGAGAGCAGAUGCUGAAACUGUUAUCAUCAGUCUGUAACUACAGAUCUUUUCAUUAUGAAUGGACUGACAGCGUUAAUCAGAGUGAUUUACUGCUGGAUCUUUACUCACAUGUGAAGAACUAUGAGACUCAAACAGGCAGGAGUUUUCUUCCAGCAUUACAGUCAGUUUUUCAGUCACCUGAUGUCUGGAUCAUCGAUCUCUCACAGAGAAAGAUCUCUGUCCUCCUGGAAGUGCUCAAACUCCAAACAAAGAAGAAACAAGUAGAGCUGAGAGGAUGUUCAGAGCAAGAGAGUGAAAUGAAGAGUUUCCUGCAGUGUCUGCAACACAUCUCACAGCUGAGAUUCUAUAAUCAGAGUGUAAGUGUUGAAAGCAGAUUUCUUCUGAGUCUCUUCAUUAAAGCAGCAGAGACUGAGACACAGACAGGAGAGCAGAUGCUGAAACUGUUAUCAUCAGUCUGUAACUACAGAUCUUUUCCUUAUGAAACGACUGACAGCGUUAAUCAGAGUGAUUUUCUGCUGGAUCUUUACUCACAUGUGAAGAACUAUGAGACUCAAAAAGGCAGGAGUUUUCUUCCAGAAUUACAGUCAGUUUUUCAGUCACCUGAUGUCUGGAUCAUAGAUCUCUCACAGAGAAAGAUCUCUGUCCUCCUGGAAGUGCUCAAACUCCAAACAAAGAAGAAACAAGUAGAGCUGAGAGGAUGUUCAGAGCAAGAGAGUGAAAUGAAGAGUUUCCUGCAGGGUCUGCCCUACAUCUCACAGCUGAGGUAAGAGAAUUAACAUGUUGGUUAAAUUGUUAAAAAAAAAAAGUUUGUGUUUUUUUAAAACGGUCAUACGAAAAAAAAAGAAAGAAAAAAAAACUAAACCUUUCCUGAAUUUUUAAAAAGGAGAUUGAUGUAUAUACAGUAUAACUUAAAAAAGCAGAAGGAAGAUUGUCAUUGUUCAUCACUCCCUGUUGUCCUAGAACUGAGGAGGACACAACACUGACCAAAGUUAAUAUUUUGGGAGAGACACUGAGGAUAUCCCAUUUUUCUUCUCCAAAGUUACACAGACCAGAAUUCACAUGUUUAUUUCAUAACAGCAUAUAAUCUUUAUUUAUUAAUGAAAACAGAAAUACUUGACAAACAGGUCACUUUACUUCCUUCCUUCAUUACCACUCAAUAAGAGAAAAUGUUUGCAAAUAGGCGGCAGCCAAACAGGAAGAGGGUAGCACUCAGACAGUAAUUGGAAACAGGUUAACGGUGUUCAGUGCUCAAGUAUAGCACAGCAAGAAAAGCUAGAAAAUUCAGACGAGAGAAACAAACAUACAAGCAUAACAACAACAAAUCACAAAGACACUCUCCAUAUAAAUAAUAACAACAAAAACACCGUGUCUCUGACCAACAUCACCAUCUGUGCUGUGUCAUCUUGGAUUCAUACAACAUAAUAAGGCCAUGUUUUACAGUAAUUUUUUCUUGUUCUUUUUCUACUGGAAGAGUAAGAUCAUUUUAGUAGCAGCAAACGCCUUUUUGAAGUAGACUUUAAGUAGACUGUUUGGUUUUUAUUAUUUAUGGUAGAUAAAUAAUCAGAAAGUAAAGAAAGAGCAUACAAUACAAUAAAAAUCAUCACUGUGGAAUUCA